GAUGAACGCUGGCGGCGUGCCUAAUACAUGCAAGUCGAGCGAACAGACGAGGAGCUUGCUCCUCUGACGUUAGCGGCGGACGGGUGAGUAACACGUGGAUAACCUACCUAUAAGACUGGGAUAACUUCGGGAAACCGGAGCUAAUACCGGAUAAUAUAUUGAACCGCAUGGUUCAAUAGUGAAAGACGGUUUUGCUGUCACUUAUAGAUGGAUCCGCGCCGCAUUAGCUAGUUGGUAAGGUAACGGCUUACCAAGGCAACGAUGCGUAGCCGACCUGAGAGGGUGAUCGGCACCACUGGAACUGAGAAACGGUCCAGACUCCAACGGGAGGCAGCAGUAGGGAAUCUUCCGCAAUGGGCGAAAGCCUGACGGAGCAACGCCGCGUGAGUGAUGAAGGUCUUCGGAUCGUAAAACUCUGUUAUUAGGGAAGAACAAAUGUGUAAGUAACUAUGCACGUCUUGACGGUACCUAAGCAGAAAGCCACGGCUAACUACGU
Molecule: ribosomal RNA, 496 nt
Filed under: uncultured bacterium
Lineage: Bacteria
Description: partial 16S ribosomal RNA
Rfam family: Bacterial small subunit ribosomal RNA
Source: RNAcentral